Molecule: unclassified non-coding RNA, 378 nt
Filed under: uncultured Gammaproteobacteria bacterium
Lineage: Bacteria; Pseudomonadati; Pseudomonadota; Gammaproteobacteria
Description: contains 16S-23S intergenic spacer region
Source: RNAcentral
UCCGGUUCAUCACCAGCAGUCUCCUUAGAGUCCCCGCCAUUACGCGUUGGCAACUAAGGAUAAGGGUUGCGCUCGUUACGGGACUUAACCCAACAUCUCACAACACGAGCUGACGACAGCCAUGCAGCACCUGUCUCAUGGUUCCUUUCGGCACUCCCAUAUCUCUACAGGAUUCCAUGGAUGUCAAGGGUAGGUAAGGUUCUUCGCGUAGCAUCGAAUUAAACCACAUGCUCCACCGCUUGUGCGGGCCCCCGUCAAUUUCUUUGAGUUUUAACCUUGCGGCCGUACUCCCCAGGCGGAAAACUUAUCGCGUUAGCUUCGAUACUAAACAGUCAUGCUGCCCAACAUCUAGUUUUCAUCGUUUACAGCGUGGACUAC